Molecule: ribosomal RNA, 253 nt
Filed under: uncultured bacterium
Lineage: Bacteria
Description: partial 16S ribosomal RNA
Rfam family: Bacterial small subunit ribosomal RNA
Source: RNAcentral
GACGGAGGGGGCAAGCGUUGUCCGGACUCACUGGGCGUAAAGGGCGCGUAGGCGGCUUUAUAAGUCGGGGGUGAAAGCCUGUGGCUCAACCACAGAAUUGCCUUCGAUACUGUAGAGCUUGAGACCGGAGGAGGUAAGUGGAACUGCGAGUGUAGAGGUGAAAUUCGUAGAUAUUCGCAAGAACACCAGUGGCGAAGGCGGCUUACUGGUCCGGUUCUGACGCUGAGGCGCGAAAGCGUGGGGAGCAAACAGG